AUACGUUUCUCGGCCUUUUGGCUAAGAUCAAGUGUGAUAUUUGUUCUUAUUAGUUUAAUAUUUGAUAUGUUGGUCAUCGCCCCACUUGAGCAUCCACCGACAUCACUU
This 108-nucleotide small nuclear RNA is filed under the name Helianthus annuus (common sunflower). Its description in RNAcentral is "U2 spliceosomal RNA". It matches the Rfam family "U2 spliceosomal RNA". From Rfam's summary of the family: U2 is a small nuclear RNA (snRNA) component of the spliceosome (involved in pre-mRNA splicing). Complementary binding between U2 snRNA (in an area lying towards the 5' end but 3' to hairpin I) and the branchpoint sequence (BPS) of the intron results the bulging out of an unpaired adenosine, on the BPS, which initiates a nucleophilic attack at the intronic 5' splice site, thus starting the first of two transesterification reactions that mediate splicing. The record is from RNAcentral. Lineage: Eukaryota; Viridiplantae; Streptophyta; Magnoliopsida; Asterales; Asteraceae.